Molecule: long non-coding RNA, 4659 nt
Organism: Oenanthe melanoleuca
Lineage: Eukaryota; Metazoa; Chordata; Aves; Passeriformes; Muscicapidae
Exons: 5
Source: RefSeq, a predicted model, not a curated record
ACCUGUGCGGCCCCGCCCCUCACACCUGUGCGGCCCCGCCCCUCACACCUGUGCGGCCCCGCCCCUCACACCUGUGCGGCCCCGCCCCUCACACCUGUGCGGCCCCGCCCAUAAAUGCCGGCGGAUCCGCGCCGCUCCGCUCACUGUGGGGGAUGCUCGUCCCGGGUGCGGCCGGACCGGCGCUCGGAGCGCUGCGUGGAGCCCGAGGCGUUGAGGAUUUACUCAGCAACUGUAAAGGUUCCAUGUCUCUUUCCGGAAGAACUGAGCAGGACAAGUCCUGAGGGCUCACUUGGUCCGUGGCCAAAGUUCUGGAGAGUGUCAGGGCUGUCCAGCCUGCAGAGGGGCGUUUCCUGCAGUGAGAAGAAUAUGAACUCACAGCCUGGCAGUCCCCUGCAGUGAGAGCUCAGCAGACAUCCACAGAGGCAAGUCCAGCAUCUGAAAGAAAGAAGAAGAAAAAAGUUUCCUGGAGCCAUGAAACAGCCAAACAGCCAAUACCUGCAGGAUGCUAUUUCCUGACAGCACAUUCAGAGAGAAACAAACUGCAGGAUACUCUUGUCCAAGCAAGCAGAUGCUUUCCUCACCUGAGAGAGCUUUGAGGUGCUUAUUGGAGCCAUUUUGCUAGUCCUGGCUGCAGGUUAACAAGGCUUCCCUGCAGUGUUAGGGAGCUCUUGUGCCUGAGCUGGUUCUGUCCCACCAACCCCUGAGAGUGGCAGCACACAGUGUGUUGAUGAGGCUUUGUUGAUAUCAGCACUGAAUUCCUGCUGGCAUCUGCUGUGACUAUAAGGAGAGACAGGUCUGGUGAGUGACCACAGGUACCAGCCCACCUUAGAGAGCCUUGCCUGGGGGUGAGCUCAGUGCAGGGGAACUGUCUCAGGCACUCCAUCCUCAGGCUUUCCACCCUUACCAGGUGUGGGCAGUACUUUCUACUUCUCUUCUUCACCAAUACAGUGAAAGCAUCACAGUGGCCCUACAGAACUCCCUGGUCUCUUAGACACAGUGCCAGUGAAUUUCAGGAGCUUGCAAAAUAUCUUCCCUGUGACAGGCCCUUUCCUUGGUACACCUUUUACCCCUUUGGAAGCACAAGUUUUAGUUUCCCCUCCACAGACUGGAUCAUUCAGCUUCUAAAUAAUCAAUUCCAAAGCUUUUCCCUCAGCCUCCACUUUGCACCACCUUCCGUGCCUUAAAUCCAGCAGAUUCCUGGUCUCCCCCAGCAACUCAGAAGCUCCAGUUCUUACCAGUCUCUGGGGAAGUAGUUUGGGGCGGUGACACACAUCACUGCCAGUCCUGGCCACACUGCCUGAGGCAGCCACAGAGGAGCACAGACCUGAGCACUGGGACAGGGAUCUCUGCUGGAGUGUGUGCCAAGUGCUGUCCCCACACUGAGCGCUCAGCCUGGCAACCCAGAGGUGUGCCCUGACCCUGGAGCUCCUGGCUUAUCCACAGGAGUCAGACACUAGUUAUCUUGGCAAGGAUUUAAAAAAGAAUUAACAAAAACCAAAGCCAAGACCAACUAAUCAAACAAACAAACAACAACAAAACACAAAAAAAGAAAAAAAAUAAAGAGUGGUACAAUCUUGUUAUUUAACUGGGACUUUUAACAUCAGAAAAACAAGGUGCUGCCACUGCAGCAUCCUGAGACCACAAAAAUGCAUCUCUGGGAGUCACAGGCAAGUAACACCACAGGGGGGCUGGUUCCUCUGUCUUUGCUGACCUGUCUCAGGAAAUGGUACCUCUCUGUCCCAAGCUGGGAUAUCAAAAAGCUGCUGCUGUUCAAAGCCACGUUGUGCAGGCAGCCCACAGGUCUCCAUCCAGGCAGCAGAGGGGAAUGAGCCCAUGGCAGUGCUCAGAAAUACACAGCACCUCUGUCCUAAGGCCACACCUUGCAAUUCUCUCUGUGGCUGUGCGUGCUGGACAGAUUCCUGCUGCUGACUGCAGCUGAUUGCCAGGAGGUGAGUUCUGGACAAGAUGGAAUAAAAGCAUUUCUGUCUGUGAACUGGAAGGAGGUCAGCAGCUCCUGCAAUCACAGAGCAGCCUCUAGGUUGUGGAAGACAGGUAAUACAGAGAAUGGAGAACAUGAAGGAAGGGAUGAGCUGAUCCAUUUCCAGCAAGGAAAAGGUAGUACUUAUAAUUCACUGGCUGCUCUGCACAUUGAGUAAAUAGAAAAAAAGCUCAAAGUAAACCCAAACAACUGAAACACAAAAAGCCUCCCAAACUAAGUUCAACCUUGAACUUACCUUCAAGGGUGGCUGUGGAUUAGGCCCUGAGUGUUCCUUGCUUUGGUGAACGAUGCAGGUCCUUACUCAGACCCAGCAGCAGACCAGCACUGAGAGCAACACUGACUCCUCUGGCCUGACACUGUUCAUGUCCUAAACUCUCAGCAGAGUUCCAUCUUGACAAAAAUCUAUCAAAGUCCACAGAUUCCUUCCCUGGUACCACUAUCCAUGGUGUAUUGAGCUGUCAUUUUCUUUGCCAUGAGAAUGAACACCAAUUUGUCCAAGAAAUUUUGGAAAUAUCCCCCAUAUCCUAUUUUUCUCCUAAUGGUAAUUCCCCAGGCUCAGGGCAGAAUAAAUAAUGGAACCCAUCAGAAUAAACUGUGAAAAGCAAUGAAUUUUUCCAGGGAAUAGAGGUGGGUGUCUCAUUCUUCAGCAAGUUUGUGAUUUGAGAGGAGUACAGAAAGAGGGAAGGCCCAGAGAGAACAGCAGCAUUGGUGAGAAAGUGGCCCACAAGUGCUACUUUGCCAAUUGUACCUCAGUGUGGCAAUAUCACAUUCUGCUGGUGGUUUCCAAGAAUGGCCAGAACACGUAUUUGUACUCCCAGAGCACAGGGAACCCCUUGAGAAUUGCUUCCAUGCCAGCUGGUCUGACAAAUACGUGGAGGAACACUGUGAUGUGUAUGCUCAGAAACAAACACCUGGGAAGUGCAGUCUGCCCUGCAUUAGGAGCUCUCUAAAAUGAGAGCAAUCACUGCCAGAUAUGAUGCUGGGGGUUGCUGGUUUGCAAAUUAAAAACCAAAGGCUCUUAAUUUGCUCUAAUCCAGAACACAGCUCCAAUUUGAGAUGAAGAGAAGAAGAUUUCAUGAUAAGGACAAUCAGAUAUUGGAGCAGUUUGCUCACAGCAGCUAUGGGAACUCUGUCCUGGGAGGCUGUCAGCAAAACUCAGCAACCUGUUCCAAGUUCAAUGUUGAUCUAGAGAUGGGACUGAAGACAUUUGGAGGCCCUUCCUCCCUGAUUGAUCCUAUGCUAAUUGCCCAUUUUCUGCACAGCCAUUCUGAAAUGGAAGGGUUCUUCCUGUAUAAUUUAGUGGAUACACAUUUCUUGGGCACAAGGAUUGCUCUGUGACCUGAUGAAGCACAGGCAAAGUAACUUUCUCCUACUCUCACCUAUCCAACUGCCACAGCAAGUCUUGGGCUCCUGCAGCUGGCCAGACAGCUGUGCCAGGGCAUAUAAAUACAAGGAGAACCAUUUCGGAUUAUCUCCUGAGAACAGUCUGUUCUUUGGCUGAUUUGAUAACCAUAAAUUGGCACUUGCAUUUGCAUCUGCCUGGAAUUGUGUGGUAUUACAGCUUCAGUGGACACCUACUUUUUCGAAGAUCCAAGAAACUUGCUGCCAUUUCCAAUACUUAAAGCUUUUAUUUCUGUAAAAUUCUAUCAGUGCCGUUUGCCAGUUAUUAUCAAGCCUCCUUCCUUGUUUGGUUUCUCCUCAUGGUGCUGCUGAGAAAUGGUGGAUAUAGGUACAAUCCCAGGUCAUGCCAGCUACAUCUUCACUGCUUUUCAGUGCCAAAGGGUCCCUCAGGUAAGUAAAAAUUCUGUUUGAUGCCCUUUGGAAAGCAGUUUGUCUCUGCUCACAGCUAUGUUGUAAAUACCUUGCCUCAAGUUCAUCGGGUUUCAGGCCAGCCCUCUGCAAAUGGUGACCUCAAAGGCACAGCACAGUCACAGAUGUAUCACUGCAGCAUAUAUAAUUCAUACAGAAAAAGAAGAGAAAAAUCAUUCAAAUGCUUCUGCCAGCACAUGGAUGUGAAGUUUACGAUCAACAUUAAAAACCAGUUGAUGAAAUCAGUUAAACUUUUUUAUUUCAGUACUAAUGCAGUGUUUGUCCUGAUAAUAUCAUGAAGUAUAACCACUUCAAAUAUGAGGUUUCAUGGAGCUCUCCACUCUUGGAAGUGUCUACAUCCUAACACCAUUGUCCAGUGCAAAGCCAAGUUCUUGCUAUAUACUAUGAUUUACAAGCAGCAACACUCAGUAGUGAGAGGAUGCUGUUUGCACCAGCAAUGCAGGGGACUUGCAGAGCUCCAGCUGCAUUUAGCAUCCCACAGCAAAACCCACCUGCAUUUGCCACAAUGUUUUAUCUCUGCCAAGGCAGUCAGAUUUCAGUGUUUUCUGCAUAUGGAUUCUAGAAGUGUCUGUCACCACAGUACUUCACAAUUGAUCUGGUUUUUUACCUUGCUUGCUUGAUUUCACGUGUCAAGAUGAUCUAGCUGAGAUAACCAGUGACUUGGAUGUUCAAAGAGCUCUUGCUAAUGUCCCUCAUAAAAGCUGAACUGCUAUGAAAUAAAUGAACAUUUAAUCAGUUACUGACUACAGUAAUAAAAGUGGGAGGAUACCUUGCGCCCUCCAGAGGGAUUCCUGUUUGGACAUGUGGAUUUAUUAAAAGCUUAAGUAGAA